RNAcentral lists this long non-coding RNA (237 nucleotides) under Gossypium barbadense (sea-island cotton). RNAcentral's name for it is "long non-coding RNA (GBAR_LNC010423)". The record is from RNAcentral. Lineage: Eukaryota; Viridiplantae; Streptophyta; Magnoliopsida; Malvales; Malvaceae.
CGAGGAGUUUACACUCCUCCUCACUGCUAUCAAUUUUAUCAAAAUAAGGUUUUAAACGAGUACUGUUUACCUUAAAAGUGUCGAAUUUAGGAUGAAUUACCUCGACUGUACCGUAUGGAAAAAUAUUGGGUACCGUGAGAGGAAUUUCUAUAUUAGAUUUAAAAGUGGCAAUACGAGGAUCUGCUGCAUCCAGUAUUACUUUGUCUCCAACCUUAAGCUGAUUUGGUGGAAUAUUGA